This 497-nucleotide ribosomal RNA is filed under the name uncultured bacterium. RNAcentral describes it as "partial 16S ribosomal RNA". It matches the Rfam family "Bacterial small subunit ribosomal RNA", at positions 28 to 507 of the family's 1533-position model. The record is from RNAcentral.
GAUGAAUGCUGGCGGCGUGCCUAAUACAUGCAAGUCGAGCGAACGGACGAGAAGCUUGCUUCUCUGAUGUUAGCGGCGGACGGGUGAGUAACACGUGGAUAACCUACCUAUAAGACUGGGAUAACUUCGGGAAACCGGAGCUAAUACCGGAUAAUAUUUUGAACCGCAUGGUUCAAAAGUGAAAGACGGUCUUUCUGUCACUUAUAGAUGGAUCCGCGCUGCAUUAGCUAGUUGGUAAGGUAACGGCUUACCAAGGCAACGAUGCAUAGCCGACCUGAGAGAGUGAUCAGCCACACUGGAACGGAGACACGGUCAAGACUCCUACGGGAGGCAGCAGUAGGGAAUCUUCCGCAAUGGGCGAAAGCCUGACGGAGCAACGCCGCGUGAGUGAUGAAGGUCUUCGGAUCGUAAAACUCUGUUAUUAGGGAAGAACAUAUGUGUAAGUAACUGUGCACAUCUUGACGGUACCUAAUCAGAAAGCCACGGCUAACUACGUG